AGUAGAACGCUGAAGAGGAGGAGCUUGCUCUUCUUGGAUGAGUUGCGAACGGGUGAGUAACGCGUAGGUAACCUGCCUUGUAGCGGGGGAUAACUAUUGGAAACGAUAGCUAAUACCGCAUAACAAUGGAUGACCCAUGUCAUUUAUUUGAAAGGGGCAAAUGCUCCACUACAAGAUGGACCUGCGUUGUAUUAGCUAGUAGGUGAGGUAACGGCUCACCUAGGCGACGAUACAUAGCCGACCUGAGAGGGUGAUCGGCCACACUGGGACUGAGACACGGCCCAGACUCCUACGGGAGGCAGCAGUAGGGAAUCUUCGGCAAUGGGGGCAACCCUGACCGAGCAACGCCGCGUGAGUGAAGAAGGUUUUCGGAUCGUAAAGCUCUGUUGUAAGUCAAGAACGAGUGUGAGAGUGGAAAGUUCACACUGUGACGGUAGCUUACCAGAAAGGGACGGCUAACUACGUGCCAGCAGCCGCGGUAAUACGUAGGUCCCGAGCGUUGUCCGGAUUUAUUGGGCGUAAAGCGAGCGCAGGCGGUUUGAUAAGUCUGAAGUUAAAGGCUGUGGCUCAACCAUAGUUCGCUUUGGAAACUGUCAAACUUGAGUGCAGAAGGGGAGAGUGGAAUUCCAUGUGUAGCGGUGAAAUGCGUAGAUAUAUGGAGGAACACCGGUGGCGAAAGCGGCUCUCUGGUCUGUAACUGACGCUGAGGCUCGAAAGCGUGGGGAGCGAACAGGAUUAGAUACCCUGGUAGUCCACGCCGUAAACGAUGAGUGCUAGGUGUUGGAUCCUUUCCGGGAUUCAGUGCCGCAGCUAACGCAUUAAGCACUCCGCCUGGGGAGUACGACCGCAAGGUUGAAACUCAAAGGAAUUGACGGGGGCCCGCACAAGCGGUGGAGCAUGUGGUUUAAUUCGAAGCAACGCGAAGAACCUUACCAGGUCUUGACAUCCCGAUGCUAUUUCUAGAGAUAGAAAGUUACUUCGGUACAUCGGUGACAGGUGGUGCAUGGUUGUCGUCAGCUCGUGUCGUGAGAUGUUGGGUUAAGUCCCGCAACGAGCGCAACCCCUAUUGUUAGUUGCCAUCAUUCAGUUGGGCACUCUAGCGAGACUGCCGGUAAUAAACCGGAGGAAGGUGGGGAUGACGUCAAAUCAUCAUGCCCCUUAUGACCUGGGCUACACACGUGCUACAAUGGUUGGUACAACGAGUUGCGAGUCGGUGACGGCAAGCUAAUCUCUUAAAGCCAAUCUCAGUUCGGAUUGUAGGCUGCAACUCGCCUACAUGAAGUCGGAAUCGCUAGUAAUCGCGGAUCAGCACGCCGCGGUGAAUACGUUCCCGGGCCUUGUACACACCGCCCGUCACACCACGAGAGUUUGUAACACCCGAAGUCGGUGAGGUAACC
This 1397-nucleotide ribosomal RNA is filed under the name Streptococcus salivarius. RNAcentral's name for it is "bacterial SSU rRNA". It matches the Rfam family "Bacterial small subunit ribosomal RNA". The record is from RNAcentral. Lineage: Bacteria; Bacillati; Bacillota; Bacilli; Lactobacillales; Streptococcaceae.